UUUUUUUUUUUUUUUUUCAAGUCUGAGCAAGUCUAUAUUACUUGAGACCCAAAACAUGCUCACUGGUUUUGGCUACAUGUGUCACAAAAAUAUGUCAGGAGGUGACCUCUCUGUCAUGUUUAAUAUUAUUUUUACAGUCUUACAUUUGAAGGAGGCUUUUUAUUAUCAUUACCUUUAGCAGAAUUAUUCUAAAUCAUCAUUUCAGUGUAUACUGAAAUUAUCUGAAGACACAGGUUAGGAAAAUUGACUUUAUAUUUAAUAAAAAAGUAUCAACUAUUGCAAAAAUUCUUAUUACUAUCUUUAUAUUCUUAAUUACAAUUGAACACUUUGAUAUGUCUGGUAAAAGAGCUGUUCUGAUAUAAUACUUGUUAAAUUCAGUUCUACACAAGAAAACACAUGGUUGUAUGCAAACUUACAAUCGGUCCACAUGCUUUAGCUCCUAAAACUAUUCUAAUAAUCAUGGUGACUUCUAAAAUAUAACUAGUUUGAAUUUUUUCAGUAUUACAGCACAGGAUUAGUUGAAACCAGCGAUGCUUUUUUAAAAUUCAUUUAUUUAUUUUAUUUAUUGAAUGUUUUUUAAUAUCUGGUUAUUUGAAAUUACUACACCAAGAAUGAGCAAAGGCAAAAAUUUGUAAAUUAUACAAAAAAACUCAAAAAAAUGAUCAACAUAUCUAAAGAGUACUGAAAAUUCCCUGGCAACUAAAAAGUCCUUCCCCCAGUUUGAAAGAUUCAGUAAAGAUAUCAAUUUACAAUUUUUGGCCCUGUAUCAUCAAGAAUUAAGAUAAUUUAUGUUUUAUAGCAUGAUGAGCUUCUGGGCCUUCUGUCAUAGUUACCUGUCUGAAAGGGAGGCUGCUCAAGAUUGCUGUAUUUUUUUUUUCUUUGCUAGUAGGAGCCCAAUAAGAAUUUAAACAGUUUUAGUACUAACUGCUACUAGAUCAAGCUGAACAUUAAACACAUGGAACACAAUUGUAAAAGAAAUCCUUACCUGCUCAUCAUUGAAGGAUUCCCUGCUGAAUCCAGUUAUGAUGCACAUGUGCUAUAACUAAUAAUGAGAAUGAAGAGGAUCUUCAGUAACACAGUUUUCUGAUUAUAGUAGAAAAAAGUACAAAGGAGUACAAGGGCAAUUUUACUCUAUAAGAUAUCAGUGACUAUGAGCUUGAUCAUUGCCAAAUUAGGAAUGUCUGUAUUGAAAACUGCAAUGUGGAAAUUACUUUAAAGAACUUGUGUACUAUAAAUAGCUCUUUAAAUUCAGUGUGAAUUCUUUUACUCUUUACAGUAGAAGAUAGAUUUGUAAUUUUGCUGAUCUAUAAUAGCCAUUUUUAAAUUGCUAGAAUAGACUGGAUUCUGGAAGAUUUUCAAGCUUUACUGCAGCUUUUCAUAAUACAUAAUGUUUUGACUGUCAUCUCUUAGGAUAUUUCUUAGCAUGUUCAAAGGACACAACCAAACACACACACAAAAAAAUCAGGAAACAAAGCUUUUACAUUCAGAAACUGCCAGAGAAAUAAAUAUCUGUAUGUUGUUUUUCUACAUAGAAACCAUUUCAAAUCAUUAAGUGGUUAUUAUUACUUCAAACAUGUUGACACAGAUCCUGAAGCCAGAAUUUAAAUGAACACUGUUUUUUUUAUGUUCAUAAGCUAAAACUGUGUUAUUUCUUGAUUCUGUUAUUUGCAAGAUCUGCAAGCAUUUAUUACUGUGUUAUAUAAAUGAAUAGCUACAACUACUUUAGACAGGCUGCUGAGAAAACAGCAACAUAAUUUGGACUAAUAGGGAAAGACAUGAUAGUGGGGAAAAAAGGCCUAAACUAGAACAGACACUUUGAACAUGAGGGGGGAAAACAAUCCUCUUUGGAUUAACUUGAUAAUAUUUAAAUCAGCCUAGAUCUUCCUUUCCAUGGAAAGAGAAAUACAGUACAGCUGGAACUCAGCAAAAUCACAUUAAAAACUCCUUGGAUUUUAUGGCUGAUUCUCCUCCCCAGCAGAAGCAGAACUAAGUUGCUUUUGCACAGACAGAGAACUGAAAGAAUUCUAGGAAAAUAUACAUGGAGAUAAACUGUGUAAAUGCCUUUCAAGCCUCCAAUUUUAAGAGGGUUCCAGAAAUUGCAGACACUUUGUUUUCAAGAUUGCUAUAGUUGUGGCAGCUGUAGUUGGUGUAAUGUCAUCACUCACUGGGUAGAUCUGAAAGCUGCUGUUUUGACCAAUACCAAAACACUCAAGAACCAAAAGCACAAUCUAUGAUGCUUUGAAAAAGAGACAAGGUUCAAAUGAAAUUAGUUCAUUUCAGUAUUGGUACAGGGGUAAACUGGUAAGGAAAAAUACCCAAGAAACUAUGUGCAUAUAUCUAUCUGUGGCCUUCUCAGACAGUAUAUAUAGAAAGACAUUCAAUAGCAAGACAUAAGUAUUAAUUAAUCAAUAAAAAUAUUAUCCCAACUGGAAAUAUGCUCUUUGUUUAAUUCAAGUGGAGUAGCAAGAAAGGAAAAGACAGGAGUAUUCUUCCAUAUCACCUGAAGCUUUAUGUACUGAUUUAGUCAGCAUAUGUGUGUAAUAAAACUGCACAAUAGUUGGUGUUUUUUUCAUGUAUACAAAUACAUGAAUCAAUAUGUAUUAUAUACAUAAAUGCCCAAUAACUUUUGUAAUACUUCAACAGAGACUAAAAGAUAAAGCACAUAAGAAGUAAAUGAUGUGUAGUAGUUAAAAAAAAAAUAGAUACUUAAUUUCUUUGAUGGUUCAUUCCAUCUUCUUACCUUUCAUUCCAUCUUCUUACCUUAUAACUUCUUUCAAAUGCCAGAUAUUGCUACCCUGGUGUCGUAGGGUGACUUUAUGAUACUUGUACCCCUAUUCACCUCUUUAGCCCAGAAAUCAGUUUUGCACCUUUAAGACUGAUUCUGAGAGUGAAGGAUGGGGGGAAGAAGUGUGGAGUUUGUUAUCAGAAACUGCACUUGCUCCCCCACAUCUUUCUCCUGGACUGUUAUCUGCAGCACAGACAGACAGCAGGACAGAGCUCUCCUUUGCUUUUUAGUUAGUUUUAGCUAGCUGGGGCAGAGAAGUUCCCUGGACUGUGUUUUUUCUUUUUCUUGGAACUAUUUGAACCUGCUCUGGACUGAAUGCCCAGAAGAGCAGUGGCAGCUCACACCUGUGGCCACAGGGAUGGGUCUGGGUAGCUGCGUUUCCAGAGCUGGAGGGACUGAUAAGAGACUGAGUGAGCCGAGCUACAGCCCACCAAGGGGACUUGCUGAGCUUGUCAUCUCUAAGGACUGGCGAGAGGUUUUAUUGCUUAAUAUUGUUCAAUUUUGUGCUGGUGAAUGCUUUGCCUGUUAAAUAAACAAGUUUUUUCCACUUUUCUCCAAGAAAAUCUUACCCUGAACCAGCUGGAGGAGGAGUUGCUUGAAUUUGCUUUUUAAAGGAACCCCUUUGGAGGUUUUCUCCCAAAUUUGCCCUAAACCAGGACACCUGAUAAUCAACAAAAAAAUAAAAACCAGAAAGAUGUCUCUGACAUAAGGAAAAAUUACUUCCAAACACAAGUUUAUAGAAUGAAACUAAGCACUCAAUAAAUUUUAUGUUAGCUGUCUAAGCAUUAGUGUUUAAGGUCAAGAUGAUUAACUCAUUGAUUAUAGAAGGAGGUCUCCAUGGCUACCUUGAUCCAAAAGUUUCAGUGGAUACCUAAGAAAAAUACUGAAGAUAAUGUAGAGGAAUAAGAGAAUGAUCCUCACACCAUAACCGAUCAAAAAAAUUAUAUGCUCCAAGACUGAGUCUUAGUCCUAGUCUUCAGGACUUUUCUUUACAGGCAAAGUAAACUGUACUUCAAAACAGCAUUCAAGUGUCACCUAAAGGCUAUUCAAAUCCAAAUAUUUUCUUCACAUGCACAAAACUUCACUAAGCAAAUGAACUCAGAACCAGAAGUUAGACUAUAUGACUACAAAUUACACACUGCAGCCACAAAGACUGUUAAUGAAUGAACAACAUAAGUAUAUUUUUAAACAUGCUUCAAAAUAAGUGGAGACGUGGUACUGAGUUCUGCACUGACACGGAGAAUAGCAAGUCUGCCUAAGAUUCAUUACUAGAUUCAAUACUAGAUUCACUGCCAUUAAAUGAAAAUUAAACUUAUGGGGCAUUAUUAUUAUUACAAUAAAUUCCAGCGUUGAUACAGAAAAGCUUUUGCACAUUCUCAGAAAAUCUUAAAAACAUAAAGUUUGUAAACACAGAUGCUUCUGUAUGGCUUUUCUUGUACCAAAUGUUGCCUCUCCCUGACAAUGCACAGCAAGUUGUUAAGUUCUUUAGGCUAUAUUCCCAUUGACACCAAAGUGACUGUCUUAAACCCCAACUUCAUGAUGCAGAAGGUUCAACACCUCCACUGGCAUAAGGAGCUGUUCCUGUUUAUUUCUUUUCAAUAGUCCUUUUUGCUUUUUCACCAUUUUUCUGUUUCAUCAGACUAAAUUCCUGAUGCUAUUCAUAGUACAGGUCCACAAAUGACUGUGAUAGCACAUGAUCAGUGAGCUGAAGGACACAAGUAAAAAUUUCUAUGCAAGGCAAAUUAGGACUUUAGUCCUUUGUAUUAUGAGUGCAAACAACUGGAAUAUUGCAGGUUAAAUUUUGCCAAGAGGUAUAACCUUCAGCAGGGAAAGGCAAAGAUUCAAGGCAGCUUUCAGGCUAUGCCUGAGCUUCUUCUGUGAGGAGAAAACACAUUUUUCUCCUGAUUUUCUCAUGUACUCUGACAGAAAGGCAAGUUGGUAGCAAUUUAGAGAAACAUUUGCUGGCACUUCUGAGAUUUAGUGUCUCCUUUGGAGGUGAAAAGUACUAUUUUUGAAGGCAGUGUUGAUAAAAGCAUGCAAACUGCAUUAAAACUUCAUCUUAUUGUUCACUGUGGGAGGCAAAAACUGAUGGGCAAAAGUGAAAAUACUGUUUAAUAAAACCCUUGAUAAAGACAUGCUUUACUGGAACAGACCUUUUAAGGAUUGCAGAUCUGCUGAAAUACACAUCUUCCUCUGUAAAGUUGAGUAGGUUUGUGUCAGGUAGACUAAACCAAAACCAUACAAUAUACAGCUGGCAUCAGUGUCAGUGUUCUCUGGAGCUCUCAAUGACUAAAACAUCACUAAGGAAAGUUACCACUCAGAUCUGCCUAAUGCAGUAAUACAUGUGUGAAAACAAAUUGCUGAGCAGUAGUAGGGUACUACAGAAAGCUUUUAAGUACUGAUAUGUUUUUGAUAAAGGCAAAUCAGUAUAUGUUUCCACAUGUCUGACUGGAUUGUGCUGGUAUAAUCUAUUAUUUCAUUUUGCAAAAUCCUUCAUCUCAGUCACCUUGUAGAUAUGCUAACCCAUAAACUGCAUGCAAGGGUUAAUGUAUAUCAAAUUAAUAGAUCAGUAACUUUCUUCUCAUAAGGGAUGUCAGUCUAUACAAAUGACUAAGUAAAAACUGCUGAUGGAAUACAUAACAUAGCAGCAGAUGUGCUGUACCAUGACACAUUCUAAACAUACCUAUGGGACCAGCUGCAGAGAAACUAUGCCUGGUAGGCUCCUGUGUGUGCCCACAUACCUGUUUUCAAUUGCUCGUGCUUUCCCUCAUCAAUCCAAGCAUUCUUGCUCUCAACAAAACUCACCAUCCUCACAGAUAAGCACUUAUAUAAGAAAUUCAAAUGGUUAAUUUGGAAAAUCCUUCUCUAGACUGAACGCUGCUGUUUUCAGCACAGCUCAUACAUAUAUGUGCAAAAGCUAACUACACUGAAAUAUAUGCCUUGAACUGUAACUAGCUCUUUCCUCUUAUCUUUUUCCUUCUUCUCUAUUUUAUUAUAGCAGAGGGAAAUAAUAAUUUCACACGAAUAAACAAUAUCUGAUGUCUCUAUCAGCUUCAUAAAUAAUACUACUUUAUUUUGUUUGUGCUACAAAUACAUUUCUAUACAGUCCUAUACUAUUUCCAGACAGAUUAAUAAACUAUAUAUAAACCAGGCAAAAAAUUGACUCUUUUUAUUCAACUACUCAUAUAAGAAUAUUUGAAUCCUAUAUACGUUUUUUUCUGUCAGUUUUUAAUAUUUUUCUACAUUACUAGGUGGAGGAACUCAAGAAACAGUAACUGAAUCACAUGAUAUUGUACCACAUGUGCCCUCUGCUGAAUGAUAGUGGCUCACAUUGUAACAAGAUAUUAUUAGAAGGUUGUCUCUAACAUGGAGUGAAAAUCAUUCUGGCUCCCAUCCAAACUUUAAUAGGGACUUUAACCUUCCAGACAGCACUGACCGCUGUUAGCAAGAUACAGCCUACUGGAGCUCCUCAUAAUUUAUACACAUAAAGUUGUGCAGUCACUUUCAGGAAGUGAAGAUCCCAAGGCUAUUUCUCAUGGAAAGAGAGUACACUGACAAUUUGUACAGAAAGCAGAAUGAAGAACACAAAAAAGUCUUCCUCAGGAAGCAUGUAGACUAUACAUGGAAUCCCAGUAGAAUAGCGAAAGACCUAAACUGUCAUUACUCAGAAGAAAUCAUUGAUAUUAUUCACUAAUGACACAGAAAUCAUAUUCAGAAAGGGAUGAUUUUCCCCAUUCUGGCCAGUACAGCAGAAGUCUAUGAUUCUUAUAAUAUUCAUCAUAAGACAAAAUUGAUUCAAAAGCUAUUACUAGCUAUAAUAAUGUGACAUUUCUGCUUCUACAACUGCCUGAAAGGAGGCUGUAUAAGGUGGAGGUCGAUCUCUUCUCCCAGGUAACAAGUGAUAGGACAAAAGGAAAUGGUCUCAAGUUCCACCAGGGGAAGAUUGUAUAUUAGGAAAAUUUUCUUCACUGAAAUAGUGUUCAGGUGUUGGAACAGGCUGCCCAAGGAAGUGGUUGGCUCACCAUCCCCCGGAAGAGUCCAAAAAACAUGGAUGUGGUACUUGGAGAUAUGGUUUAGUGCUGACCGUAUUUGUGCUAGGUUAAAGAUUGGACUUAAUCUUAGAGGGAUUUUCCAACCUUAAUGAUUCUAUGAUAUUCAGUGAUGUUUUGACCCUGCCACGUAACCUUUCACGAGAACAUAUCACUCACUCAUUAUCAAAUUCUUUUCUCCAUAGACAAGAACCAGGUUAGACUAGGCCUUCAAAUUUACUUAGCAGCCAGUAAAACACUUUUUCUAGUACCUUGUAAAGGACCUUAGGACUUCAAUAUUCAACUGAGAAGUGUUAAAUAUUGAGCCAGAAUAAUGAGUCUGUGAAUUUCAGAAAACUCCUGGGAGCGAGCUGACACUGAAUGGUGCCACCAGAGUGCAAAUUGCUUCAGAUCAGGGUACUGUACACGUAAAAGAACAUCCAUCAUAGUGGCCAUGUUAACAAAUGGUAUUAGAGCUGGAAGGGCUGUAUAAAUACCCUGACAGUUUUCUGGCUAAUAAAACACAAAAAUAACUGAACUAUGGCUUUAAAGACUAUGCAAAAAGUUAAGGUAUGGAGUCAAGGAGGAGUAUUUUUUUCCAUAUCAACCGCUAGUUAGAGUAGUAAUUUCAAUAGUCUGCACUAUUAUAUACAAAAGGUGGAUCUGACAAUAUGUGUUUUCCUUCCAGAUUUGCUGGAAAACACUGGAAACUCACUGGGUACUGGGACUCUAAGGGGAACAUUGCCUUUAAUAACUUCUGCCCCUGAUUCUAGGAAUUCAGCAUGACUAAGAGGAAAAUUUGAACAUGAAGAUAUCCUAAAAAUCUGGAAAACACUGUUGUAGUAUUUCUGGAAGAGGUUAGCAUGCAUAUUUUCUCUGGGGGGAAUGAUGGUUUCUUUAAUAAAAAAUAGAAGGUUUUUUAGAGCAGAGGUCAUACCAGCAUUAGAUAUCUGACAUUAGGGAUGAACAUUCCCAUGCAAGACUGCCUAGAACCAACCUUCAGGCUGCGAGCUCCUUGAGGCAAAGUCUCUUUUGUGCUGUGUACAGCACUGAACAUUCUGAGUUCAUCAAAAAGCAAUAAACUAAAUCAUAUCCUACACAAACAGUCAUAAAGUCACAUGUAUUAUCACAUGUAUUAACAGAUCUAAGGAACAUUCUAUUGCUACAGCAUUACAUGCUUGGAAACCUAUACUAGCCGAAAAGAAAAGAUAAAUAUGAAAAUGUCACAUAUUUUGAUGUUGAGAUAUAGCCAAAAUCUUAAUAGUACAACAUGACUGAGAGAGAAGGUGCAGAAUUUUACAGAGAUUUCACAUUUAAAAGCUUAAAUAGUUAUAAAAUUUUGACACAGCUGGACAAAAUGUAACGGAAUAGAGAUUAAAAUUUUCCUUCAGUGAGGUGCACUUUCUCUUUAUGUGUAAAUGGGAUAAAUACAGUUAACACAGCUGUCUUCUCGCUGCCUUUUUCACAUCUUUGACAGUGGUGCUUAUCUCAUUGCAAGAGUGGUAUUACCAGAUGAACAGCUCAGAUGCUCCCGCCCCUGCUUUUUUUUUUUUUUUUUUUUUUUUUUUGAUUAGCUAACACACUAGAGGUCAUCUGCAGAAAGAAGGCAUGUGGAUGUUAUAAUAUAUUUUAGUC
RNAcentral lists this long non-coding RNA (8448 nucleotides) under Taeniopygia guttata (zebra finch). RNAcentral describes it as "lncRNA (ENSTGUG00000024907.1)". Lineage: Eukaryota; Metazoa; Chordata; Aves; Passeriformes; Estrildidae. The record is from RNAcentral.